This 253-nucleotide ribosomal RNA is filed under the name uncultured bacterium. RNAcentral describes it as "partial 16S ribosomal RNA". It matches the Rfam family "Bacterial small subunit ribosomal RNA", at positions 524 to 776 of the family's 1533-position model. The record is from RNAcentral.
UACGGGGGGGGCAAGCGUUGUUCGGAAUUACUGGGCGUAAAGGGCUCGUAGGUGGCCAACUAAGUCAGACGUGAAAUCCCUCGGCUUAACCGGGGAACUGCGUCUGAUACUGGAUGGCUUGAGUUUGGGAGAGGGACGCGGAAUUCCAGGUGUAGCGGUGAAAUGCGUAGAUAUCCGGAGGAACACCGGUGGCGAAGGCGGCUUCCUGGACCGACACUGACGCUGAGGCGCGAAAGCUAGGGGAGCAAACGGG